This 161-nucleotide ribosomal RNA is filed under the name Ceriops tagal. RNAcentral's name for it is "5.8S ribosomal RNA". It matches the Rfam family "5.8S ribosomal RNA". From Rfam's summary of the family: 5.8S ribosomal RNA (5.8S rRNA) is a component of the large subunit of the eukaryotic ribosome. It is transcribed by RNA polymerase I as part of the 45S precursor that also contains 18S and 28S rRNA. Lineage: Eukaryota; Viridiplantae; Streptophyta; Magnoliopsida; Malpighiales; Rhizophoraceae. The record is from RNAcentral.
AACGACUCUCGGCAACGGAUAUCUCGGCUCUCGCAUCGAUGAAGAACGUAGCGAAAUGCGAUACUUGGUGUGAAUUGCAGAAUCCCGCGAACCAUCGAGUCUUUGAACGCAAGUUGCGCCCGAAGCCUUCUGGCCGAGGGCACGUCUGCCUGGGUGUCACU